GGCAGAGUCCUUCGGGACAUUGCACCUGCC
RNAcentral lists this unclassified non-coding RNA (30 nucleotides) under synthetic construct. The record is from RNAcentral.